UUAAAGAGGAGAGACCUAAAAGAUCAGACCUAAUCCCUCUCUCUCUAAAACUACAAACGACCCUUCUGGGGAUUCCUUCUUUUUCUCCAUUUUCACCAUCACCAAGAACAGACCCUCCCCUUUGAAAAAACGAACGACCCUCCCCCAAAUCUCUAAAAACCUUAGCACCACAAUACCUCCCUUUCUUCUUCUUCUUCACUCUUAUUUUCUGACCUUCUAUAAUCUUCAAGGAGAAGCAAGCAAAAACAAGAACGACUCUCUCAUUCUCUCAUCUUCGGCGUUCUAAUUUCCCCUUUUCUAAUUGAGAAUCGGACUUCCCUUUAUAUCCAACCCUAAUCCGCCUCCUUUUCUUUUCUCUCAUCUUUCUCUCACACAUGCUCCCUCAUAGUCUAAAAAAUUUGUUCCAUCUCACUCACUGGAGGCUAAACAAAACGAAGUUUCAGAAAUAAAAAUAAAAUAAAAUAAGAGAGAUUUGGAGAAUAAAACGUUCUGAAAAGAAAAGGGAAAAUGAAAUUUGGAAAGAGUUUGGGAGAUGAAUUGAUUUGCUAAACAUUUGAAGUUUGGGAACUGAUGUUGUUUGUUGCCGAAGCUGUUUGUCUGCCGUCCUCUCUUCUAUGGCAUCUCGUUAAUUAGAUUUUGGAGUCGGUCCCAGCGGCGGUUAUUAGCAUGCUCGGAUUGGACAAUUUUGGAGACUUGAGAUGGAGAGAACAUGCACUAUAUCUUCAGCCGAGCAACAGAUAGAGCCCCCAGUGGCAGUUUCUACGAGGGGUAGAGGUCGAGGCCGAAGCCAUGCCUAUUGAUACCCAAUUUUCCCUCACAUAUUUUUAAUACCUAUAUAUACUUUUAAAAUAGUACAUAUGCAGUUAUAAUCAUGCAUAAACAUUUUUUAUAUUUUUUUAUAGUUUUAAAGGCUCCAAAUUAAUUUAUUUCUCAUUUUUUUA
Long non-coding RNA from Nicotiana tabacum (common tobacco), 941 nucleotides. RefSeq lists it as uncharacterized. The record is from RefSeq and is a predicted model, not a curated record. NCBI's taxonomy places the organism in Eukaryota, Viridiplantae, Streptophyta, Magnoliopsida, Solanales, Solanaceae.